UAUCCCAUAAAAAAGUUGUGAUUGGUCUCGUUCGUCGUAAUGGCAUACUAGCUAUUUGCUUUGCCUUGACGACUAUAUUGCUAUAUCACCACCCAUAAAUUGAGUUC
Molecule: small nucleolar RNA, 107 nt
Organism: Salvia hispanica
Lineage: Eukaryota; Viridiplantae; Streptophyta; Magnoliopsida; Lamiales; Lamiaceae
Product: small nucleolar RNA Z43
Source: RefSeq, a predicted model, not a curated record